AGACUUCAAAAAUGAAGGAAGAGGAUUUGAAUCUGAAGUCUCCUAUCCCAUUAUUCUACGAGGAGUGUUGGUGAUUGUACUGAAAUGCCAUUUUUAAGAAAGAAAGCCUUCUGGACUGAAAACUGGGGCAAUGUAGGAACUGUAACCACAUAAUGGCUGCAGGUCAGUGCAUCCAUCCAAAUGGAACAAAGUACAAAAGCCACCCUGUCCCCAAAGUAAGUAUUGGAAGUGCCAGAAACAUGAUAAGAAAAUAGCCUGUGCUCAACAAACUGCUCUUAGGACAUGACACUGAAGAUCCUGUCCCACAUUUUCUCCCAGGCUUGCAUGACAUGGUAAGGAAGCUCCACUUGCCAUCCUUCCUCCCACUAAAGAAAGGGAUGUUUCCCACCACUGACUCUGAGGUCUACCACUCCCCUCCAAGAGAGCGAGGCAGUCCACAGACUCUGGGCACCCACCUCCGGAGGCUCAACAUUCCUCAAUCAACCCUUUAGCAAGGCUAGUUCUUCACUGGUAACUGGAAACACCCUUUAGACAGACAGAAGUAGACAGGUGCAAAGGGAAAACAACAGUUUGUUCUAUGUUUUGUUCUGUCAGCAUUUAUACUUAAUUUUACCAGUCCAAAUGGUGGUGACUUUUGAAUGGACAUAGAAAAUUGAUUUCUCCUGCUGGUUUGAUUUUAACUGGGAAAAUAAAGAGCCCCAACAAAGCCUAAAACGAAAGAGUUCAGACUUAGAAAAGGGAAUAUACUGGCCCAGAAAGUGAGCUCUAUUACAUUCACAUGUUAUUUCUAAUAUACAUAAAUAUACUCUGAAG
Pipistrellus kuhlii (Kuhl's pipistrelle) is the source of this 813-nucleotide long non-coding RNA. RefSeq lists it as uncharacterized. The transcript has 2 exons. NCBI's taxonomy places the organism in Eukaryota, Metazoa, Chordata, Mammalia, Chiroptera, Vespertilionidae. The record is from RefSeq and is a predicted model, not a curated record.